UAAAACCUUGCAUUUCAAGGAAUUCCAAGCUUAUAGGAAGCUUAAUGAGGUCCUCACGAGUCUCGGGGUAGCUCGUUCGAGGAAUUUGGACGUCGGGAUCACGAGAAACGUCGAGUUGCAGUUUUGAUCGGAAUUUCGAAGCUUCCCCGACGUGAUUUCGUGAGAUUUGAAGCUUCAAAUAGGUAUAACGCCAUUCUUCUCACUCUAAGCUUUUUUUUGGUUCAAAUUUCAUGAAAAAUGGUUAAGAAACGAGUGAUAAUAGUGAGUUUGAAAUUUUACCCAGUUUUUCGGCGACCGGCGGCUCGCCGGGAACGAAGACGAAAUAUUCCGUCAGUUUGGACAGAAUAUUCUCACGUUGUCAGUUAGAUUAGAUGGAAUUUGUUAGGUUUAAUGGAAUAUUCCCUAACGGUGGUUAAGGAAUUCGUCAGGUUAGGGCUAAAUGUGGGGGCGCGUUUUGCCGUGGCCUUGCUAGGGUGUGGAAGGUCCAAAAAUAUUUCUAAAAGUAUGGGGAUGUUCCUGAGGUUAUGUAGAUCACUGUGGUAUAUUUAUAUACCUAUCUUGAGCAAUGUAUGAGAAGUUAUUAGCUAGUUUUGUAUAUGUGCUUAAAAAUAACGUUUUUAUAGUUAAUUCGCAUAUAGGUGAGACUUAUCCCGAGGACGAGCGUAUCCAAGGGCGACUCGGGGGCUACAACCCUUUGACUUAUCAGUAAGUGGGCUUUUGUUUUCAGUAUAUAUUUAUAUACUUGAUUUUUUUCCCAGAAAUGUGUUUUAAAUGAAAGUAUGCUUUGUAAUAAUAUGCCAAAUGCCUUUAUAUUCUGAAUAUGCAUUUCAUGGUUGCAUAUAUAUAUAUAAUUGUGGUGCUGUGGAGGCCCAGAUUAGUGCAGGUAAGUUAUGAUUGGUUUAGGUGAACUACGAACGGCUUGAUCCCUAUUUAGGGUACGUAGGCAGUCUAACAAGAGGUUAGAUGCAACCAUUCAAUAAAUGAGAUGAACAUGUUGAUUGUCUAUAUGAGAUAUGAUUGAGAAGUGGUGAGCUCAUAAACCUGCACCCCGACUGAUUGCGAUUUAGCCAGAGAGUUGGCACAAGCCUGUAUAUUAUGUCACCUCCUGCACCAUAUGCUCACAUUGGAUCCAAUUUAGGUUCUCAGUCUUGUCGUACAAACCACUAUAAGUGGUUCCAACUCGUAGGUGACUAACGACUUAUCGCACAGCUAGCAUGAGGGCGUAGCAUUGAGCAUAACUAUAUUACACCCAACCUUGUCGUACAGACCCUUUUUAAUGGUUCCGACUUAUGUGCAGUAUAUUACCGUAUAGGUCAUAGUAGUGACUUGAUAAGCUCAUAUUUAUAUAUAUUUUACAUAAAAUUAACUUGUCUUUUCUUAGUUAGUUCCUUAUAUUUUUGAGCUAUUUACUAUGUUUUGGUGUUUUGUGUGAUUUAUCAAGCAAAGAAAAGAAAAGUAGCACAAGUGAGUUAUUAAGUAACAAAUUCGUCAAAACUGCCUGUGCAGAUUAGCUGACUUUGGAAGCAUGUUACGAACAACUCAAAAUGAAUGAGAGAAUGAGCCUUAUAUUCUUGGAAAGCUACGGAUGUCUAUUUUCUGGAGAAAUUUAUGGAUUGUUAAUAUCAUUUUUCUAGAAGAAGUUAUGGGCAUUGUAACACAAAAAGGUUCAGAAAAGGGCUAAGCAGAUUUGGCUAAUAAAGUGAGAAAGUAUAGACACUUGUUUUGUGUUUUACUUUGUCAUCAACACUCAGCAGCAAAUGGGGUUAUGAUUGCACUCAUUUGGCUUUGGAGCAAGUGGAAAUGCACAGCUAGAAGAUGAACAAGGCACAUGGAAGAAACAUGGACAGCACACACACAAAGAGAAAGGCAUGGCAUGGACAGUUUGACAUGGGCAGAAAAUGGGUGGAUUGUUGGCUGAAAUAAUGAAGAAUAUGUGUGUGCAAAUGCAAAGGAAAAACACACACACAUGGGCAAAGGAAACACACACACAUGGGCAGAAAAUGGGUUGAUUUGUGGCUGAAAUGAUGGAGGUCAUGUGUGUGCAAAUGUAAAGGGAAACAUGGACAUCCACCAUUCCCCUUCCUAAGGAUAAUCUUGAUCCAUCAAAAGAGCUUCAUUCACAAACACAAUUUUCUUGUAGUGACCUCCAUCCAUUCAUCUAGCCAUACUACAUCUCACCAAUCCAUACACUUUCAUCUCUUAGCCAUGCAAAUCCAUUCCAUCCAUUCAUCUAGCCAUACUACAUCUCACCAAUCCAUACAUUUUCAUCUCUUAGCCGUGCAAAUCCAUUCCAUCCAUAUAUCCAUACACAUCCUAGACACUUGUGCUACAACAAGGUGGUGAAAACAAAGGUCCUUGACGUUUCAACCUUGGAACUUUGGAGCGGUUUAGGUGUACUUCGUUCUUGCUUUCAAUGUCUACUUUGUUAUUUUCUAAUUUUGUUGCAAUUAUGAGUGGCUAAACCCUUAUUUAGUUAGGGGGAAGUUUGAAGCCAUGAACAUGCUUGAGAUUUGAAUUGAUUUCUUCCAAUUGUGAUUUGAUAAGUUGUGAUUGCAAUUCAAUUAUCUAUUUUAUUCAUAACUGAUUCUUGUAUGUUUUUAUUAAGGAUGCAUACUUAGUUUUCAUGCAUG
Molecule: long non-coding RNA, 2630 nt
Filed under: Malus domestica (apple)
Lineage: Eukaryota; Viridiplantae; Streptophyta; Magnoliopsida; Rosales; Rosaceae
Description: long non-coding RNA (MDOM_LNC019927)
Source: RNAcentral